This 2015-nucleotide long non-coding RNA is filed under the name Strigops habroptila (Kakapo). RNAcentral describes it as "lncRNA (ENSSHBG00005008525.1)". The record is from RNAcentral. Lineage: Eukaryota; Metazoa; Chordata; Aves; Psittaciformes; Psittacidae.
AGAGCCAGGGGUGAGGAGGGGCUCGGCGGCAGCUGCGGAGACGGCUUUUGGUCUUGGCUAAUUAACCCAGCAAAUGUGACAGCCACCCUGGGAUGUCUUCCACCAGAUCCCUUCUUGCCCUUCCAGCUCUCUUUACCCUUACCUGAGAAAAGGCAGGAGGGAGGGAUGUCCUUGGAUGUGGGCCACUCCAGCAGGAGUGAUGGGGAGAUAACAGGUCUAGGAGAGGGGGGGCUGUUUUACCCAUGUAUCUUCACACGAUGGAUGCCUCUGCAGCCCUUCACCCUUAUCUUUUGAGGGAUGAGGAGUUGCAGAUGUACACAAACAGGAUGGAACAGGGAAAUAGGGGGAUCUGGCAGUGCAUAAAAAAGGCUGCAAAUAUGUGUGGGGAAAGUGUUUUCCUCUGUUCUUUUGUUUCAAGAUGACCAAACCCUCGGCAGGUGGACGGGUGAAGCUCUUGAUUUUCCACCCACUGAGGAUUUGGCCCUGUGAAGGCAGGCAGAAGGGACAUUUAGGCAUCAGUGUGACACACUUUCCCCACCAAGCCUGGAAGCUAUUGCAGCCCAGAAGACCUCCUCACUGCCGCUGGGUGGAAAUAAAGCUGUGGGGUGGCAGCGAGGAAGGCACUUCAGGAGCAGCUGCUGAUUACUGCGAGUAAAACUGUCCAUAACCUCAUCUUAAAUGCAGGAUCAGGCUGCAGUGAGGUUGAAAAGGAUCUGGCAUCCCUGGUGACAGCAUUUGGUGUAAGUGCCAGCCUUAUUUUAACCCAACUGGUACUGUUAAUGCGGGAAUGUAUAGGCACCAAGGAAUAUUUGCAUUCAGUGGCUGCAUAAGGAUUGAAUAUCUCAGAGUGAAAUUCCUAGUGUGAGACAGCCUUGGUAUAUGUUAUGAAGAAUUAAUAUUUAUAGACAGUCUUAGCUGGGAAUUUCUAUACGGAGGAACAUUUGCAUUUCUGGGAAAGAACUUUUUAAGAACUUUUUUUUUUUCCAUCCUCACUAAGUAGAAAUAACUUGUUGAUAUACAGCAUAACAUAUGAAACAGUGAUUACUGUCAUGUUUACAGAUAUUUGAACAAAGUGCAUAUAAUAGAUGUAUUUUUACAUGGUGGUGGUUACAUCAUCUAAAAAAAGAGAUAUGUACACGACUACAUUAAAGAUUUAGGGUUCUAUCCUGAACCAUUUAAGUCAAUAGGAGUUUAUCACAGAUUUUAAUGGAAGCCAGAUAGGGUCUUACAUGCCAAUGUAAUGCAGCUGCUGAGAAAUAAACAUCGACACAGAUGGGUCAAUAUAUUGGUGUCUUCUAAGUUCUAAAGCUGUACUUUGUGAUACCUAUUUCAAUUUUUUGCAAAUUCAUUGUAACUGCAGUGCAGCCACCCUGCUGCUGAAGAACAGGACGUGGAGGGUACCAGUAUUCAUUGUGUAGUAGUGACACCUUCAGGUCACUACCAAAACCAGCCCCCUCUGUUCAAGGUGCUGCACAUGCACUUGUGGAGAAAUAAAUCUUUAGUGAGACAUCUGAUGACUUGACCAAGGACAUAGGGCACAUCAGUGAUGGAGGUGGCAGUGAGAGCCAGGGACUGUAGCUCGAGGGAGAAAUAAGAGCUACAGACCUGCAAACAGAUAAUGUAGUCUGGCUUGGGGGGUUUGGGAUAUUUUUUACCGUGGCGGGGAUAGGGGGAAAGAAAAAGGAAGAAAAAUAAAGAAGUUUAGGUUAAGCUCAAAAUUAAUUUGUUUUAAUUUAUAAAUAAAAAAGAUAAUCUCAAGGUAUUUUGCUUUUGAACACCUUCAUGUUGGGGCAUCUUCUACACUACUGUUAAAAAAUAACAAUGAAAUGAAGUCCUGGCUAUUUAAGAAGAGAAAUUAUUCCCUCAGAUAAACUUUUUUUUUUCUUUAGAUAAUAAAAUAAAAUGUUUUGACUUUAUCCUUUUUAUGUCCUGCUUGAAACAACUUGCCAAAUUUCCUUUAAAUCUGAGAACAGCUUUCCUUCCUGCUAAGCUAUUUUUCCUCUACAAAUAUCAGC